UCACUGCUAUCGGGGUUUGAUUAAGCCAUGCGAGUCGAGAGGGUUCUGACCCUCGGCGGACUGCUCGUAACACGUGGAUAACCUGCCCCAAGGUGGAGGAUAACCCCGGGAAACUGGGGAUAAUACUCCAUAGGUUAGAGAUACUGGAAGUUCUUUGAUCGAAAGUUCCGGCGCCUUAGGAUGGAUCGCGGCCGAUUAGGUAGUUGUGGGGUAACGGCCCACAAGCCUGUCAUCGGUACGGGUUGUGGGAGCAAGAGCCCGGAGAGGAAUCUGAGCACGAUUCCAGGCCCUACGGGCGCAGCAGGCGCGAUG
RNAcentral lists this ribosomal RNA (312 nucleotides) under uncultured archaeon. RNAcentral's name for it is "bacterial SSU rRNA". It matches the Rfam family "Archaeal small subunit ribosomal RNA", at positions 24 to 346 of the family's 1478-position model. The record is from RNAcentral.